Molecule: long non-coding RNA, 244 nt
Organism: Ipomoea nil (Japanese morning glory)
Lineage: Eukaryota; Viridiplantae; Streptophyta; Magnoliopsida; Solanales; Convolvulaceae
Exons: 3
Source: RefSeq, a predicted model, not a curated record
AAAAGGGAGGGGAAAAAUGAAGCAAACCCAGGGGCCAAAGAAUGAUCUUUAGAAUGAAAAUUAAGUUAUAAGUCCAUAACAAACAAAGAAUUAACUCAAUGAAGAAUGGAAUUUAUUAGAAUAUACACAGAAGAACUGGAAAGAAAUUAAGACUUACAAAGACUCCCUUCUCUUCUUCAGAGAAAUCGCUGUUUGGGAACGAAUCAAAAGAAUCCAUCACUAGUAUUAUACCAGUACUCCAGAU